Magnolia sinica is the source of this 481-nucleotide long non-coding RNA. RefSeq lists it as uncharacterized. Lineage: Eukaryota; Viridiplantae; Streptophyta; Magnoliopsida; Magnoliales; Magnoliaceae. The record is from RefSeq and is a predicted model, not a curated record. The transcript has 2 exons.
UAUUUUAUUUUUUUAAAAAAAUUAAUUUAAUUUUUUAUUUAUAAAUUCUCAUCAAUUUUUUUCUCCAAUUUUAUCCACUGGACUGUUUGAAUUUCUCUGCUUUCAAUCAUAAAACUUUUGCAACAUCUUCCUUCUAAAAUGUGACACCAAAUUGGUUGGAGAAGGCUAAGAUGAUGAUGGUGGUGAUAGUGAUGAUGAUGGUGGAGAACUGGUCAAUGUUGGAGUCAUAUGCUACCUAAUGCAGGAUUUUAAUCAAUUGUGCCUAAAUUUAGGCCUACAAAGUAGCACUUCGGCUUUUUUGACACCGGUCGCGCUAGGAGUACCAUAUAGAGGAUUUAUUAUUAUUAUUAUUAUAGACCAUUUUCAAUUUAUUGUAAUAAAUAUUAUAUUUUUAUUAUUAUUGUGAAGUAAUAUAAAUUUUGUUUAAUAUUCAGUUUAAAUUGUAUUGCAACAUUUUUUAUGUUUCAAAUACUAACAGGUU